GUAAACCCGAGAACAAAAGUCUUGGUCCUGAACCUAACAUUACCUGUCUCUAAGAUUAUACAUGCAAGUCUCAACAAAACAGUGAGUCGCCCACAGACCAAUAAGCAGAUGGAGCCCAUAUAAGAUACACUAACAGAAUCAUAAGCACAGUUAAACCACGCCUACACAGGAUAUCAGCAGUAACUAAUAUUGGGCAAUAAGCAACCAAAGCUUGACCCAGCUAUAGAGAAAUAAGGCCGGUAAAACUCGUGCCAGCUACCGCGGUUAUACGAGAGGCCUAAGAUAAUGACUACGGCAAAAGUGGCCAGAAAAAGUCAACAAAGCUAAUAAAGAAGCCCUAACUAGCUGUCCAACGCUAACAAAAGACCAAUCCAAACUAUUAGCCAUAAGACAAUUUAAACCACUAAAAUUGGGAGACAAACUAGGAUUAGACACCCUACUAUGCCCAAACGUAACUGGCAUAGCCCGCCAGAUUAGUACGAGCGAAAGCUUAAAACUCAAAGGACUUGACGGCAACCCACAUCAGCCUAGAGGAGCUUGUCCUAUAAUCGACAAUACACGAUAUAACCUUACCACCCAUAGCCAAUCAGUCUAUAUACCGCCGUCGUCAGCUCACCCUGCAAAAGAACAAAAGUGAGCAAAACAGCCACACCCUAAAACGACAGGUCAAAGCGUAGCACAUGGGGUGGGAUGAGAUGAGCUACAUUUUCUAAUAAAGACCACACCACAAACCCAAUGAAAAAGGACAAAAAGGAGGAUUUAGCAGUAAAAUAGGGCAGAAAGCCUAUUUGAACAUAGCACCGGGAUGCGCACAUACCGCCCGUCACCCCCAUCAACAGCAACACAAAAUACAUAAUAAAACAACAAACAAAAGAAGGGGAAAGUCGUAACAAGGUAAGCGUACCGGAAGGUGCGCUUGUAUAC
RNAcentral lists this non-coding RNA (924 nucleotides) under Namibiana occidentalis. Its description in RNAcentral is "partial 12S ribosomal RNA". It matches the Rfam family "Bacterial small subunit ribosomal RNA". The record is from RNAcentral. Lineage: Eukaryota; Metazoa; Chordata; Lepidosauria; Squamata; Leptotyphlopidae.